This is a long non-coding RNA of Vanessa atalanta (red admiral), 1363 nucleotides long. RefSeq lists it as uncharacterized. The transcript is spliced from 3 exons. Lineage: Eukaryota; Metazoa; Arthropoda; Insecta; Lepidoptera; Nymphalidae. The record is from RefSeq and is a predicted model, not a curated record.
CAUUCGUUUCAUAUCGAAUCUCUUUCUACAAUCGUUAACGCUUCGGCGUAAGCGAUUAUAGAAAACGAUAAGUAGCUAGCCAUAUUGACACGAGUGAUUCGAUCGCUCAUUCUACAAUGAACUUAGAAAAAACCUACACUUCAGUCUAUGGUGAGCGAUCUUUAAAACGUCAAACCAACGUCAAAGUCGCAGUUGUGUACUUUGAGCGCGGGAUCAACUCUUGUUUUGAAUUGAAGUUUGAAGAAUAUUUAUUUGAAGUGUUAAAAAAUAAGUAAAUUAAAUAGGGUGGGUAUACAUUCUCCUUGUAAUUGGUUUAUAACAAUAUCACAGUGCCGAAUGUAAAUUUAAACAUUACUUGUGACUCGAAAUUUUAUUUUAUUAUCCUGCUUAAGUAUGACCGAUACCUUAAAUGAUGUGAUAACUUUUAUAGAAUGAAAUAUAAAUCUCGAGCAAGCCCAGAACAGUUUGCAACUUUACUGGAAUUUAUGGAAAGUUAUGGCGAUAUAACGAGACCCCAGCAAGGGCCACAAGGCCGAAUUAAAGCUGACCGACUGUGGCAGCAAUUAGAAGAGUUAUUAAACUCCAUAGGUGGAGGAGUAGUAAAACCAAGGGACAAGUGGAAAAAAGUAUGGUUCUAAUAAAACCCCCCUAAAAAUAUUAUUUUAUAGUUUUCUAUAAUUAUCAUUCAUUCACUUAAAUAUUAUCAAUCAGCUUAUUUCAAAAAUUAUAAAAUAAUUGAUGAAAAUAUUAAUGACAAAAAUUAACAAAUAAUGUCCAGGUGUGGGCAGACUGGAAAGCUAAAACUAAGAAAAAAGCUUUAGCAAUACGUUGUGAGGCUUCUGGUGCUGGUGGUGGUCCAAGCAGCAGACAAACUCUCACUGCUUCAGAAGAGAGGGUGUUGUGUAUAAUGGGUUUGACUGCUGUUAUUGGUCAAGCUGGAAUUAUAGAGACAGGCUUUGAUGCUAGUUUUUUUUUUUGCUUGGGGUCUUGGCUUAUUAGUGUAUUUUCUUCUUUAAAUAAAAAUUAUCAAGUUGUUCAUAUUUUCAGGCUCAACCAUCACUGAGAAACACUCAACCAUCCCCGACCAGAGUUUCUAAUUGUACGGUCUGUCCACCCCAAAUUUCUACUACAGCCACGGAUGAAAUUAUGUUGGAUUUUAUUCCUUCAUGCUCUAUACAAGCAACAACAUCAGCCUUUACUGCUACCUCAUCACAACAACAUCCACCACCAGUGCUAACGCCGCCGCCCGGCACUACGUCCUCGCCGGUGCCGUCAGCGACGACGCCUGCCGCUUCCACGUCACGGGGUGCUCCUCAACGGCAGUGACAUCAGGCAAAUCUGUCGCCUUCAGCGUCGUUUUUUU